GACCCCAUCGUCCAGCCUGGCCCAGGACGCCGGCCUUUCAAGCCGGUAACGCGGGUUCGAAUCCCGCUGGGGUCACCA
RNAcentral lists this transfer RNA (78 nucleotides) under Nitrospinaceae bacterium. RNAcentral describes it as "tRNA-Glu". It matches the Rfam family "tRNA". Rfam says of the family: Transfer RNA (tRNA) molecules are approximately 80 nucleotides in length. Lineage: Bacteria; Pseudomonadati; Nitrospinota; Nitrospinia; Nitrospinales; Nitrospinaceae. The record is from RNAcentral.